ACUGCUAACAUAGCUUCAUCUCUUCAAAAGACAAGACAACAGGUAUCUUCCACCAAGAUGUCUGUUGAAAUGGAAAUGACCUUACCCACUACACCAAGGGUAAUUAUGCUUGGAAAUAGCUUGAUGUCUGCAACCCGGUGGAUGGUCAGUAUGGAG
Xiphophorus maculatus (southern platyfish) is the source of this 156-nucleotide long non-coding RNA. RefSeq lists it as uncharacterized. The record is from RefSeq and is a predicted model, not a curated record. NCBI's taxonomy places the organism in Eukaryota, Metazoa, Chordata, Actinopteri, Cyprinodontiformes, Poeciliidae. The transcript is spliced from 3 exons.